Molecule: small nuclear RNA, 113 nt
Organism: Cyprinodon variegatus (sheepshead minnow)
Lineage: Eukaryota; Metazoa; Chordata; Actinopteri; Cyprinodontiformes; Cyprinodontidae
Gene: U5
Rfam family: U5 spliceosomal RNA
About the family: U5 RNA is a component of both types of known spliceosome.
Source: Ensembl
AUUCUUAUUUCUCUUCAGAUCGUAUAAAUAUUUUGCCUUUUACUAAAGAAUUUUCUGUGCAGGGGAACAACAAGAGUCAUCCUAAUUUUGAAUGCCCUGCUGAGAGGUAGGGU